GGUUAAGUUAGAAAGGGCGCACGGUGGAUGCCUUGACACUAGGAGUCGAUGAAGGACGGGACUAACGCCGAUAUGCUUCGGGGAGCUGUAAGUAAGCUUUGAUCCGAAGAUUUCCGAAUGGGGAAACCCACCAUACGUAAUGGUAUGGUAUCCUUAUCUGAAUACAUAGGGUAAGGAAGACAGACCCAGGGAACUGAAACAUCUAAGUACCUGGAGGAAGAGAAAGCAAAUGCGAUUUCCUGAGUAGCGGCGAGCGAAACGGAACAUAGCCCAAACCAAGAGGCUUGCCUCUUGGGGUUGUAGGACAUUCUAUACGGAGUUACAAAGGAACGAGGUAGACGAAGCGACCUGGAAAGGUCCGUCGUAGAGGGUAACAACCCCGUAGUCGAAACUUCGUUCUCUCUUGAAUGUAUCCUGAGUACGGCGGAACACGUGAAAUUCCGUCGGAAUCUGGGAGGACCAUCUCCCAAGGCUAAAUACUCCCUAGUGAUCGAUAGUGAACCAGUACCGUGAGGGAAAGGUGAAAAGCACCCCGGAAGGGGAGUGAAAGAGAUCCUGAAACCGUGUGCCUACAAAUAGUCAGAGCCCGUUAACGGGUGAUGGCGUGCCUUUUGUAGAAUGAACCGGCGAGUUACGAUCCCGUGCGAGGUUAAGCUGAAGAGGCGGAGCCGCAGCGAAAGCGAGUCUGAAUAGGGCGUUUAGUACGUGGUCGUAGACCCGAAACCAGGUGAUCUACCCAUGUCCAGGGUGAAGUUCAGGUAACACUGAAUGGAGGCCGAACCCACGCACGUUGAAAAGUGCGGGGAUGAGGUGUGGGUAGCGGAGAAAUUCCAAUCGAACCUGGAGAUAGCUGGUUCUCCCCGAAAUAGCUUUAGGGCUAGCCUUAAGUGUAAGAGUCUUGGAGGUAGAGCACUGAUUGGACUAGGGGUCCUCAUCGGAUUACCGAAUUCAGUCAAACUCCGAAUGCCAAUGACUUAUCCUUAGGAGUCAGACUGCGAGUGAUAAGAUCCGUAGUCAAAAGGGAAACAGCCCAGACCGCCAGCUAAGGUCCCAAAGUGUGUAUUAAGUGGAAAAGGAUGUGGAGUUGCUUAGACAACUAGGAUGUUGGCUUAGAAGCAGCCACCAUUUAAAGAGUGCGUAAUAGCUCACUAGUCGAGUGACUCUGCGCCGAAAAUGUACCGGGGCUAAAUACACCACCGAAGCUGCGGAUUGAUACCAAUGGUAUCAGUGGUAGGGGAGCGUUCUAAGGACAGUGAAGUCAGACCGGAAGGACUGGUGGAGUGCUUAGAAGUGAGAAUGCCGGUAUGAGUAGCGAAAGACGGGUGAGAAUCCCGUCCACCGAAUGCCUAAGGUUUCCUGAGGAAGGCUCGUCCGCUCAGGGUUAGUCAGGACCUAAGCCGAGGCCGACAGGCGUAGGCGAUGGACAACAGGUUGAUAUUCCUGUACCACCUCUUUAUCGUUUGAGCAAUGGAGGGACGCAGAAGGAUAGAAGAAGCGUGCGAUUGGUUGUGCACGUCCAAGCAGUUAGGCUGAUAAGUAGGCAAAUCCGCUUAUCGUGAAGGCUGAGCUGUGAUGGGGAAGCUCCUUAUGGAGCGAAGUCUUUGAUUCCCCGCUGCCAAGAAAAGCUUCUAGCGAGAUAAAAGGUGCCUGUACCGCAAACCGACACAGGUAGGCGAGGAGAGAAUCCUAAGGUGUGCGAGAGAACUCUGGUUAAGGAACUCGGCAAAAUGACCCCGUAACUUCGGGAGAAGGGGUGCUUUCUUAACGGAAAGCCGCAGUGAAUAGGCCCAAGCGACUGUUUAGCAAAAACACAGCUCUCUGCGAAGCCGUAAGGCGAAGUAUAGGGGGUGACACCUGCCCGGUGCUGGAAGGUUAAGGAGAGGGGUUAGCGUAAGCGAAGCUCUGAACUGAAGCCCCAGUAAACGGCGGCCGUAACUAUAACGGUCCUAAGGUAGCGAAAUUCCUUGUCGGGUAAGUUCCGACCCGCACGAAAGGUGUAACGAUUUGGGCACUGUCUCAACCAGAGACUCGGUGAAAUUAUAGUACCUGUGAAGAUGCAGGUUACCCGCGACAGGACGGAAAGACCCCGUGGAGCUUUACUGUAGCCUGAUAUUGAAUUUUGGUACAGUUUGUACAGGAUAGGCGGGAGCCUUUGAAACCGGAGCGCUAGCUUCGGUGGAGGCGCUGGUGGGAUACCGCCCUGACUGUAUUGAAAUUCUAACCUACGGGUCUUAUCGACCCGGGAGACAGUGUCAGGUGGGCAGUUUGACUGGGGCGGUCGCCUCCUAAAGUGUAACGGAGGCGCCCAAAGGUUCCCUCAGAAUGGUUGGAAAUCAUUCGUAGAGUGCAAAGGCAUAAGGGAGCUUGACUGCGAGACCUACAAGUCGAGCAGGGACGAAAGUCGGGCUUAGUGAUCCGGUGGUUCCGCAUGGAAGGGCCAUCGCUCAACGGAUAAAAGCUACCCCGGGGAUAACAGGCUUAUCUCCCCCAAGAGUCCACAUCGACGGGGAGGUUUGGCACCUCGAUGUCGGCUCAUCGCAUCCUGGGGCUGUAGUCGGUCCCAAGGGUUGGGCUGUUCGCCCAUUAAAGCGGUACGCGAGCUGGGUUCAGAACGUCGUGAGACAGUUCGGUCCCUAUCCGUCGUGGGCGUAGGAAAUUUGAGAGGAGCUGUCCUUAGUACGAGAGGACCGGGAUGGACGCACCGCUGGUGUACCAGUUGUUCUGCCAAGGGCAUAGCUGGGUAGCUAUGUGCGGAAGGGAUAAGUGCUGAAAGCAUCUAAGCAUGAAGCCCCCCUCAAGAUGAGAUUUCCCAUAGCGUAAGCUAGUAAGAUCCCUGAAAGAUGAUCAGGUUGAUAGGUUCGAGGUGGAAGCAUGGUGACAUGUGGAGCUGACGAAUACUAAUAGAUCGAGGACUUAACCAU
This 2921-nucleotide ribosomal RNA is filed under the name Bacillus anthracis (anthrax bacterium). RNAcentral's name for it is "23S ribosomal RNA". It matches the Rfam family "Bacterial large subunit ribosomal RNA". Lineage: Bacteria; Bacillati; Bacillota; Bacilli; Caryophanales; Bacillaceae. The record is from RNAcentral.